GACGAAGGAUGCAAGCGUUAUCCGGAUUCAUUGGGUUUAAAGGGAGCGUAGGCGGCCUGGUAAGUCAGUGGUGAAAUCUCGCAGCUUAACUGCGAAACUGCCAUUGAUACUGCCUGGCUAGAGUACAUGCUGUGGGCGGAAUAUGACAUGUAGUGGUGAAAUACAUAGAGAUGUCAUAGAACACCGAUUGCGAAGGCAGCUCACAAAACUGUAACUGACGCUGAGGCUCGAAAGUGUGGGGAUCAAACAGG
This 251-nucleotide ribosomal RNA is filed under the name uncultured bacterium. RNAcentral's name for it is "partial 16S ribosomal RNA". It matches the Rfam family "Bacterial small subunit ribosomal RNA", at positions 524 to 776 of the family's 1533-position model. The record is from RNAcentral.